Molecule: long non-coding RNA, 708 nt
Organism: Lycium ferocissimum
Lineage: Eukaryota; Viridiplantae; Streptophyta; Magnoliopsida; Solanales; Solanaceae
Exons: 2
Source: RefSeq, a predicted model, not a curated record
CAUUGUUACUCACACUUUAGUUGGCUUCAAUGAAUCAAUAUCUGAAUUUUUUAUAUAUUUAUCUUCACUUUAAUUGUGAAUUCAAAAAAUGUAUGAUUAAACGUUGCAACCAAAUGGAGGUAAAUGGACCCCAUUAGGGAUUCAACCAAUUAAUAGAGUUGACGUUCAGACUUUGUCCGCCUACAAUUUUUAUUUUGUUACUGUAUCAAGAAGCCUGUCAGUAUCAGAAAUAUGCCCCACAUAGGUGUACUUCAUUUGCUGGUUAGAUUCCAGUGUAUUGUUGGGUGGUUCAUUCUUUUUAAUUAUUUUUCUGACCAGUACGAAUACGUAUUAAAAGUAUCACCUUAGGGUAAAUGAUACUUGUUGGUUGGUGUCCCACGACACUUAGGCAGGAUUUUAUUCCCUCCAUUCCAUCUUAUUUCACCUGUUUUGUUCCAGAAGUAAUUAUGUCGUUCAACCUUGUCUUAGCAUCUUCCAUUUCUUAUUUUCCCCUUUUCAUUAUGAUAAACAUAGGAAAUACUCUGAGUUAUACAUUGGUAGAGGUAUUUUUACACUGUUAAAUCUAUAUGAAUUAGCUUUUGACAUGAAAUUUCAAAUUUAUAAUUACUUUGUAAGUAAUUUGAUUGUGCGACUUUUUUUUCAUAUUCAACACAAACUACUCUAUAAUGCAUUUGUCGCGAAACUUUUAUAGUUUUGUAAAUAUGGUAG